UACAGAGGGGGCAAGCGUUGUUCGGAAUUACUGGGCGUAAAGGGCGCGUAGGCGGCCGCCUAAGUCAGACGUGAAAUCCCUCGGCUCAACCGGGGAACUGCGUCUGAUACUGGGUGGCUUGAAUCCGGGAGAGGGAUGCGGAAUUCCACGUGUAGCAGUGAAAUGCGUAGAGAUGUGGAGGAACACCGAUGGCGAAGGCAGCCCCCUGGGUCAAGAUUGACGCUCAUGCACGAAAGCGUGGGGAGCAAACAGG
Molecule: ribosomal RNA, 253 nt
Filed under: uncultured bacterium
Lineage: Bacteria
Description: partial 16S ribosomal RNA
Rfam family: Bacterial small subunit ribosomal RNA
Source: RNAcentral